Ictidomys tridecemlineatus (thirteen-lined ground squirrel) is the source of this 271-nucleotide non-coding RNA. The record is from RefSeq and is a predicted model, not a curated record. NCBI's taxonomy places the organism in Eukaryota, Metazoa, Chordata, Mammalia, Rodentia, Sciuridae.
CGCCAGGAAGUGCGUCAGAGAAAAGCGACAGCGCCUCCCCCGCCUUCCGGCGGAAAGAACUGAAGGCCCGCGGCCCAUGGGAGCCGCCAGCGGAAGUCACCCGAGUGAGGAGGCGUGGCCUAAGGAACAUUCCUUAUUUCAACGAGUGACCAAGGAAACUUCGAGGAAUGCUGUGACGGGCCGAGGUUAGGGGAACCGAAGCCGAUGCUCCACCUUCAACCUGAACACCAUCUGGGGUUUGUGAACUUGAACACAGCUCCUUUGAUCACCA